RNAcentral lists this ribosomal RNA (253 nucleotides) under uncultured bacterium. RNAcentral describes it as "partial 16S ribosomal RNA". It matches the Rfam family "Bacterial small subunit ribosomal RNA", at positions 524 to 776 of the family's 1533-position model. The record is from RNAcentral.
UACAGGGGGGGCAAGCGUUGUUCGGAAUUACUGGGCGUAAAGGGCUCGUAGGUGGCCAACUAAGUCAGACGUGAAAUCCCUCAGCUUAACUGGGGAACUGCGUCUGAUACUGGAUGGCUUGAGUUUGGGAGAGGGAUGCGGAAUUCCAGGUGUAGCGGUGAAAUGCGUAGAUAUCUGGAGGAACACCGGUGGCGAAGGCGGCAUCCUGGACCAACACUGACACUCAGGAGCGAAAGCCAGGGGAGCAAACGGG